GACGAACGCUGGCGGCGUGCCUAAUACAUGCAAGUCGAACGCUGAAGGAGGAGCUUGCUUCUCUGGAUGAGUUGCGAACGGGUGAGUAACGCGUAGGUAACCUGCCUGGUAGCGGGGGAUAACUAUUGGAAACGAUAGCUAAUACCGCAUAAGAGUAGAUGUCGCAUGACAUUUGCUUAAAAGGUGCAAUUGCAUCACUACCAGAUGGACCUGCGUUGUAUUAGCUAGUUGGUGAGGUAACGGCUCACCAAGGCAACGAUACAUAGCCGACCUGAGAGGGUGAUCGGCCACACUGGGACGGAGACACGGCCCAGACUCCUACGGGAGGCAGCAGUAGGGAAUCUUCGGCAAUGGACGGAAGUCUGACCGAGCAACGCCGCGGGAGUGAAGAAGGGUUUCGGAUCGGAAAGCUCUGUUGUAAGAGAAGAACGAGUGUGAGAGUGGAAAGUUCACACUGUGACGGUAUCUUACCAGAAAGGGACGGCUAACUACGUG
Molecule: ribosomal RNA, 495 nt
Filed under: uncultured bacterium
Lineage: Bacteria
Description: partial 16S ribosomal RNA
Rfam family: Bacterial small subunit ribosomal RNA
Source: RNAcentral